ACCUCGGUAGCUUAGUUGGAAAAAGCAGCAGGGCGUAAACCUGAAUACCUGGGUUCGUGUUCCAGUCGAGGUC
Molecule: non-coding RNA, 73 nt
Organism: Henosepilachna vigintioctopunctata
Lineage: Eukaryota; Metazoa; Arthropoda; Insecta; Coleoptera; Coccinellidae
Source: the annotation of a GenBank genome assembly